AGCCACGCUUGGACGGAGCCCUCGGCGCUCCUCUCCCCGCGCCCUCGCAGCUCUCCUCCUCCUCCUGGGGCACGGUCGGAGCGGUGCCUGCGGGAUUUCCGAGCUCCCUUUGCAGCUCUGCCCGUGCGGGGCUCCGGGCUCGGCGCUGCCGCUGUCCCCGCCGAGCUCCGGGGGGGCCCCGCUCUCCCCAGCCGUGCGCCCCGUCGGGCGGCGGGGACGCGCUCCCGGCGCCGCUUUCCCUGCCCUCCUCCUGCUUUUUUUUGCUCUCCUUUUUGCCCCUUUUCCUCUCCCCCCCGUGGGGGCCAGCCCCGUGGGGGAGCAAGGGAGAAAUCUCGUUUGGAUCCGGCGCUCACGGAGGGGGGCCCCUGGCGCACCUCGCGCCCGGCAUCCGCGCUCCUCGGGUGCCCGCAGCGCGCUCGCCCCGGGGCGCGGGGGCUGCCGAGCAUCUGCCGGGAGCCGCAGCGAGGGGCUGCGGGGCCCUGGGGGGCUCCGUGGGCACCGGGGGCUCCGGGCAGGGCCGCGGCCCCGGGAGGAAGAGGAGGAGGAGGAGGAGGAGGAGGGAAAGGGGAGCAGCGGGCGCGCCCCGGGGCCGUGCGCGGCCGGGGCUGCGGGGCGCGGAGCGGUCCCGGCCGUGCCCGUGGGGGUCGGGGAAGGGGGCGAGGGGGCUGUGGGGGUCCGGGCCGCCCUCCCCAGCCCCGUUCCUCCGCCGCUCGACCCGCGGCCGUCGGGCGGGCGGGCUGCGGCCGGGCCGCGGCUCUGCGAAACGUCUCCAACGCCUGGCAGGCGAGGGAUGUGCCGGGGCUCCGCUGGUUGCCAUAUGUUUUCAAUAAAAUAAGACAAAUAGGGCCGGGAGAUAGGGCUUGCAGUAAACCUGUUAUAAAGGAGCAUAAAAUAGGCCAAUGUAAACGCCAGAAGGGCCCCUCCGGGAAGGGCCGUUUGGUGCCAGCCCCGCGCCGCAGCGGCUCAGACAGGUGUGAGCAGGAGCCCGACGCGGUGCCCCCGGAGAUUUUUAUCACGUUUGUGGUAAUAUUGUGCUUGUUAUGCUAA
RNAcentral lists this long non-coding RNA (1047 nucleotides) under Anas platyrhynchos platyrhynchos (common mallard). RNAcentral's name for it is "lncRNA (ENSAPLG00000019602.1)". The record is from RNAcentral. Lineage: Eukaryota; Metazoa; Chordata; Aves; Anseriformes; Anatidae.